AAGGAAUUGACGGGGAGCACCACAACGGUGGAGCUUGCGGUUUAAUUUGGAUUCAAACGCCCGGAAAUCUUACCGGGACCGACAGCAAUAUGAAGGCCAGGCUGAAGACUUUGCCGGAUUAGCUGAGAGGUGGUGCAUGGCCGUCGUCAGUUCGUACUGUGAAGCAUCCUGUUAAGUCAGGCAACGAGCGAGACCCACGCCCACAGUUGCCAGCGUACUCUCUGGAGUGACGGGUACACUGUGGGGACCGCCGCUGCUAAAGCGGAGGAAGGAAUGGGCAACGGUAGGUCAGUAUGCCCCGAAUAUCCCGGGCUACACGCGAGCUACAAUGGUUGGUACAAUGGGUAUCUACCCCGAAAGGGGACGGGAAUCUCCUAAAACCAAUCUUAGUUCGGAUUGAGGGCUGCAACUCGCCCUCAUGAAGCUGGAAUCCGUAGUAAUCGCGUUUCAACAGAACGCGGUGAAUACGUCCCUGCUCCUU
Molecule: ribosomal RNA, 481 nt
Filed under: uncultured Methanosaeta sp.
Lineage: Archaea; Methanobacteriati; Methanobacteriota; Methanomicrobia; Methanotrichales; Methanotrichaceae
Description: bacterial SSU rRNA
Rfam family: Archaeal small subunit ribosomal RNA
Source: RNAcentral